AAAUUCUUUAAAUAAUGCUCUGUUAUUGUUGCGAAAUCUUAUAAUAAUGAGUUGUUAUUGGUGCAAUUGAAAUGUAAGCACUCUUUACUAUAUAUAUUAUAUACUAUAAAGAAGCUCCGCUCUCAUUUGCAUCAAAUUUUCCGGCGAGUUCUAAGAUUCCUCCCCACCCCACCAUCUUGAUCUUGGUUUCUACACCCCGCUUGAGAAUUUUCUUGCCACCUUUUUCUCUAUUAUAGGCCGCUAUAUGCUUCCAUUUUUAGUAAUCUGGUUUUCUUUUUAGUAUUCAGGUUUAGAGUUUUUAGGCGGUGCAAUUGUAUGAUCAUUUCCUCAAGAAGCUGAGAUUUGAGGGGUCUGCUUGCGUUAUAGGUCUGUUCUUUUACUUGAGUCUUGUGAUAUAUGUAGUCUCAGUUGGGAAACUUUUGAGUUUGGAGGAUUUUUUUAUUUUUCGAAAUAAUGUCAAAAAGAUUCAAUAUUGGGAUUUGAUAGAGAAAUGGAGUAAAGAGUUUUCACAGGUUUUUAAGGUGAAGUCUACAGAAUAAAGAUUUUGUUUAAUUUAUUUGAGUUUUCCAAGUUGGAAAAUUUGUGGGAUGGUAAUGAAACAAACUGCCUAUUUAGUUUCAUCGAGGAAUACAGUAUGGGGAUUGACAUUCGAUGAUAAUUAUGAAUUGGGUUCUGUGAGAAAAUUAAGGAAUUUUUCUGGGAUUUGUGGAGGCAUUAGCGAUGAACAGUUUGCAAUUGCAAAUAUUUGAUUGGUGAAAAAUUAGUUUAUGUGGUUCCAAAGGAAGAAAAUUCAAAAAAAGAAGAAGUUCAAUUCUGGUGAAGAUAUAGUCUAUGAGUUUUGCUAAAAUGAAGGUUCCUUCCAAUGGAUAUAUGGCCAAUACGGGAGAAGGUUUGUUAACUUUCAUCCUUUAAAAUUAUACUUCUUGUUCUUUGCUGUUUGAUUUCAGAUACCAUUUCUCAACUUUUUAUACCAUAGUGAAAAGCUUUUGUUCUCUGCCAAUUCAUAAUUUUGGGCAAGUUCAAGAGCUUGAGGUUUUAAUAUUCUCGAUACAGUGAACUUGCUAUUCAUUUAUUCGUUUUACAUAUUCAGGAAAGGGACGCUAAAGAUUGAAAAUGUGAAUUUAUUGUUGUGCGAUUCUUUGUUUGUUUAAUACAUUUUCUUGGUCUGUGUGUAGAAUUCUAACUUUUAUUCUGUGUGAUUUUUUGUAUUUAUAAGCUAUUACUCGAAUUAGUAAUAGGUGGCAUUGUUUGUAGAUUAACAGACUUUCUUUGAGAAAAGCAUAAAUUUGUUAUUGCUUUAUAUUCAGUUCUGUAUGUGAUUUUCUCCUGCAAUUCAAUGCUUUCAAUCUACUUUCUUUGAGAUCUUAAAGGCAGAAAUUUGUUAUUGCUUUAUAUUCGAUUCUGUAUUUGAUUUUCUCCUGCAACUCAAUGCUUUCUUAAUGAAUGGUCCUUUACCAUUGUUGUCAGUGAUGUGUACCGAACUCUUCGUCAUUCUUGAUUUUUUUUCCCCGCUUUUUUUUGCCCCAAGUUUACGUAUAUAUAGUAUUCUAGUCGUAAAAUUUAUCGGUUUUCAAUGUCAAUUGAAGAUCGUCAGUUCCGUAAUCAGUGUCAAAAUUUUCCCCUUUGAAUAGAUUAUCUAAACCUUCCCUUUUCUUAUGGAUGUUUCUAUUUUAGUUUAAGGCUUUCUUUUUUUCUUUUUGUGUUGUAUGGAGUGUUUUUGAAGCACUUCGUAAUACCAUUUGCUGAUGAUAAUGAUAUCUUAGAAAAAUGAUAAAUUGGAAACAAGAAUUCAAUAACCGGGGAUCUAGUGGGAAGUAGGAUCCAUGUGUUUUGUCUAAAUCAAUUGCAGCACUAAACUGUGAGCUUGCUGGCACUUUGUACCUUUUAAUGAUUCAUCAUAAGCCCACGAGCUGAUAUCUACUGUCCGAAUUUUAUUAUCCUCUUGCCUGGCAUCAAUCUUUACUGCUGGGGAAUUCUGAUUAUGUGACUACCUUUUCUGUUGCUAAGUUGCUUGUCCUCUGCGUAACUUCCAACUUCACCAUAAAAUCUUCUCUUGCAGUCCUAUUUUGCAGUUUAUGCUUAAUUCGAAAUUGAUUGAUAGAGAAAAUAACUUAGUGGACCAGCCUCGAUAUUGGAAAAUAUACAUUUAACAGUUGGAGAAUGUAUUUUUAAUAUCAAUAAAAAAUCCUUUUAUAGCAAAUCUUACAUGAUAGAAAUUCCUUUUGUAGCCAUUUGAAAUUGCAGGUUUCAUAAUCUUAUGUCAUUUUUGAAGUUUCAACUUUCGUGUAAUAAAGUUUCCAUUUUAAUUGGAACAGGAGGGGAAAAUGUGAUUAAUUCAGAGUUAUGGCAUGCUUGUGCCGGACCAUUGGUUUCUUUGCCUCCUGUUGGAAGUCUCGUGGUCUAUUUUCCUCAAGGUCAUAGUGAACAAGUAUGUCCUUUCUCUCCAUUUCAAGUUAUAACGCAACUUUUAAUAUUCAAUAUCUGAUAGAUAUACAUCUACUGUUGGUAGGUGGCAGCGUCAAUGCAUAAGGAGGCUGAGAGCAUCCCAAGUUAUCCAAACCUUCCUUCAAAGUUGAUUUGCAUGCUGCAUAAUGUCACCUUACAUGUACAACCGCCUCCAUAGUUGUACAGAAAACUUUAAACAUUAUAUGUUAAAUUUUUUUCCUUUUUUUUCUGUGUUGCCACUCAUUGUUGUCUGCGUUUUCCUUCCUUCUCCUUGGCCUUUUAUACCAGAAAAGUACUUGAUGAUGGUCAAUUUGUUCUAUCCACACUGUAAAUCAGUAUCAGUGACGAUGAAGUUGCGUGCAAUAUUGGUGCAACUAAAGCAUGUUUGGCCAAGUUUUAAAGAUUUACUUAUACGCAAAAAACUAGGUUCAAAAUAAAUGAAUUUUUUUUUUUUUUUUGGUCUGGUCAUAGUUGAAAAUAAGCAAGAGUUUCUCCCAAAAUAAGUAACCUUUUUACUUAAAGUAACAUUUGUAGAGCAUGUUUGGUGGUUCUUAAAAUGUACUUGUAGUUGUCUAUAAAGUAAGUUAAGCAUGUUUUGUUAGUGAAGAAACAUUAACUCUGAAAAUCCUAUUCGGUAAAAUAAGUAAUUGAAAAGUAAGUUUAGUUUACUUUCAUGCAAACAUGCAUAUUUGGAAUGAAAUUAGUUAAAUGAAUACUUAUAAAAAAAUUUAGCUAAGCCAAACAUGAUAAAGAGCAACUAUAUGUGUUUGGAUACUAGCCAAACCUCAACAUUUUAUAAUUAAUUUUCUUCUAUUUACUUAUUUAUUUUGAUCAGGCUGAUACUGAAACUGAUGAAGUCUAUGCUCAGAUGACUCUUCAACCUGUAAGCAAUGCAAGUCAGGUAUUAAAUUUGAGAAUUUAUUUACAUAACAAUACUUUAUAGGAAAAAAUGUGGUACAGCAUGAUAACUUAUCUGAAGAAGCAUUGAAUUUAUCAUCCUACAGUACGACCAGGAAGCUCUACUUUUAUCUGAGAUGGGACUUAAGCAAAGCAGGCAACCUUCUGAGUUCUUCUGCAAGACUCUUACAGCAAGUGAUACGAGUACGCACGGCGGUUUCUCCGUACCUCGUCGAGCAGCCGAGAAGAUCUUUCCUUCUCUGGUUUGUGUUAAGCAUUUGACAUUUCCGCAUAAAUUGAGAUGAUAAAAUUGUCAGCAUGUCUGGCUGUGCUUUUACUUUUCUUGGAAGUAUGCAGUAUAAACAUACUUCACUAAAAAGGAGCUUAAAAGCUGAUAUAAGUACAGCCAAACCUGCUCGAAUUCAGCUCAUUCUGCUACUUACCUGGAAAAUUUCUUGCAGGAUUUUUCGAUGCAGCCUCCUGCUCAGGAGCUAGUGGCUAAAGAUUUGCAUGACCAAUCAUGGACAUUCAGACAUAUAUAUAGGGGUAUUUGUUUCUAGAAUGUAUAUCCUUUGGUACUGUAUUUGUUUUAAAAUUCUCAAGGAUGUAUCAAGAAAAAGAUAUUAACUCUACUCUAUUAGAAUCCUCUCUUCCUGAAUAUUACUUCUAGAUAGACUACACAGAAAAUUGUAAAUACAUCUUGGAAAAAAUUAGAAUCAAACAUGCUCCUUUGAUUAUAUAUUCGUUCAAUGUUAAUUUGUCAUGAAAUUAUGAUUCUGAGAAAUGGUUUGCUAUGCCCUUUAUGUAAAUUAUUAUUUUUAUCAAUUAAGGACGCUAUAAGUCAAUUUGAUUUUACUUGCGAGUAUUCCAUAUGCAAAUAUACAUUACUUCAUAAAUAUUUCGAGUUCAUUUGAUGGUUACAGUUAGAUUUGUACCAUUUCUGCAUGUAAACCUCUAGAUUUGGUUACUUUUUCUUUUUGCUCACUUUACACAAGACUAGAUUCCUGGAAUAUCUCAUCGGGAUACACUCUCUUUGGAGCCACCUAAUAACGCUACUGAGAAAUAUUUCAUCUUAAUUAUUGGGAAUAAAACUUGAUUUUUGUUGUUGUAGUUCUGACCUGUUCUUGAUCAUCAAUCAUAGUUUGGAACAUAAAGUUAAAGACUACUUGUGCUUGAUUCCAGGUCAACCCAAAAGGCACCUGUUGACAACUGGAUGGAGUGUAUUUGUUAGCUCUAAAAGACUUACGGCAGGCGAUUCUGUCCUUUUCAUAAGGUACGGAAUAUUUGAAUUAAAAGCAUAGUUGGUUAAGCUUAACUGAACAUGUUUGGAAACAAAAAAGUGAGUUUCACUUGUUUUUAAGCUUAGCCAAACAUUCUCUCUGUUUGUGCUUAGCGUUAUCCUUGUCACUGAACUGCAAAAGUGUGAUAUAGAGACGAAAAGUCACAUCUUCUCUUGGGUAUAAGACAUGCUACCAGACAGCAGCCUGCUAUCUCCUCGUCUGUCAUAUCUAGUGACAGCAUGCACAUGGGAGUUCUUGCAGCUGCAGCUCAUGCGGCUGGGAACAACAGCCCAUUUAAGAUAUUCUACAACCCAAGGUAGUCGAACUAAUACCUUUUUCAACUGUUAAAGUACACUGGAUUAACUUUGUGAAAUUUUUUGAUUCCCUGAUGAAACCUAAACUUUUACAGGGCUAGCCCUUCUGAAUUUGUUAUUCCUCUUGCAAAGUAUAACAAAGGAAUGUAUACCCAAGUUUCAUUAGGUAUGCGUUUCAGGAUGAUGUUUGAGACUGAGGAAUCCGGAGUCCGCAGGUACAUGGGUACCAUUACUGGCAUUGGUGAUUUGGACCCAGUGCGAUGGAAAAAUUCACAGUGGCGUAACCUUCAGGUACUGGUUUUCUCUUUUCAUUUUGCUGAAAGUCUUCAACAUUUAUCUUUAGUGUGUAUGAUCAUGAACAUUUAGAACUUCGUGAUCGCUGUUCUACUCUCUUGGAAACUAAAUUUUUCCACUGCCCACCUAGGAUAUAACUCGACUGGUUGGUAAAUAUGUUGUCUAUAAUCAGUUUUUAGGCUAGCUUCUCUCAGUUUACCAUGCUAAAAGCUGCAUCUCAUUUUUGGUUUUGGCUUUUCUCCAAAUAUGUGCAUUGUAUCUUUCCAAUUUUUAUGUUUUCCUCUGCCGUAAUUGACCUUCAUUAAUUUCUAAUCAUGGUUUAGAUGUAUCCAAAAGAUUUAUCCUUGAUAUAUUCUACUACAAACGUCUUUUCCUCGAAACUUAUUCGAUUUCUAGAUCUCAUAAUCAAUUAUCAUUACUUUCGUUAGGUUGGAUGGGAUGAAUCUACUGCUGGGGAACGUCCUAGUCGAGUAUCAAUUUGGGAAAUCGAACCUAUUGUGACUCCCUUCUAUAUUUGUCCACCACCAUUUUUCAGACCUAAGUUUUCGAAACAACCAGGUUUCCCAGGUAAUCCAAGUUGACCACUUAUCUAUCUUUUAUUAUUCUGGGAUGUCAAACAGCUAUAAGUUACAAAUUUGUAUUAGUUUUAUUUGGUGUGUUUGUGGGAGACUGAAUGUGUCCAUAAGUUUUUGUUGAAAUUGCAAUAAUUUGUUGCAAAUGUUCAAAUUUUCCUCAAACUCGUGUUUUUACAGAUGAUGAUUCCGAUAUAGAGAAUAUUUUCAAGAGAGGCAUGCCCUUGAUUGGAGAGGACUAUGGUUUAAAAGAUACCUCAAGCUUCAUAUUCCCCGGGAUGAGUUUAGUUCAGUGGAUGAACAUGCAGCAGAAUCAACAGUUCACAGCUAAUCAGUCUGGACUUUUCCCGGACGGGCUCUCUUCAACUAACCUACACGGUAACCUUGGAACUGACGACUGCUCCAAGCUGUUGAAUUUCCAAUCCCCGGCCUUUGCUUCCCAAAAUCUCCAACUCAGCAAAAUCAAUCAACAAGUUGGACAACUUCAACAGCAGCCGUCUUCUGCGUGGCCCCAACAGCAGCCGCUGCAGCAAAUGUUAACGUCUUCUAUAAACCCUAUAAAUAAUGGUGUAGCUCCUGACCAGAAUCCAUAUCAAAAUUCACAGCAAACAGCAAUUAUCUCCCAACAACUUCAGCAACAACAGUUAAUAAGAGGCAAUACACAAAUGCAGCAAAAUGUUCCCUCAGCAAACAAAAGUACAGUACCCAUGAUAUCUUUACCUCAGGACACUCAGUUUCAGCAACAUAUUGAACAACCAUCUAGCCUUGUGCAGAGGCCCCAGCAACAGCAGACAGAAAUGCAACAAACUCGGCCACAAUUUCCGCAGCCAAUCUCAAUACAAAAGCCACAAGGGAAACAGACAUCACAACAGAGUAUUUCGGAACAUCAGCUGCAAAUGCAGAUUCUCCAGAAACAUCAGCAGCAACAGCAGCUGCAACAGGUGCCGUCCCCUGUAAGUUCUUUUUUGGAGCCUCCGUUUUCCCAACAACAACAGGCUCUUCAACAAAACCAGCAAGCUCAGCAUUUCAGCAGCACCGGCUUUUCAGCAUCAACACUUGUGCAAUCACCACAAUUUCCUGUCAACCAACUCUACAGCCAGCAAAAGUCUACGUUCACUGUCAAAUCACAUUCCGAACCAGCUGAUGCGGCUGGCCCAUCAUGUUCAAUCGCACCUUGUACAAACAAUAUGCAAGCUUCGCUGUCGAACUUUCUGAACAGAAAUCAAUUGGGAUCAGCUGCAUUACUUGAUAAUUCGGUUAUUCAUCCUGUUCCUAGUUUAGCUCCAGAGUCUCAUAGCAAGGCUGAUAUCCUAAUAAAAAGUGAUUUACCUAGUUAUAAAGGACCGAAGCAGCCUAAAUACCGAAAUACAGCUAAAGAUCACUUGGAUGCAGCUUCAAGCGCAACAUCGUAUUGCUUGGAUGCUAGUGGGCGGCAGAACUUUUCUCUUGCUGGCUUGGAUGGUGACAUUCAAUCACAUCCCCAGAGCAGUCUUCCUUUCACAAGCAGUAUUGAUGGAUUGACACCUGAUGCUUUGUUGUCAAGGGGUUGUGAUUCCGGGAAGGAUAUCCAAAACUUGCUCUCUAAUUACAGUGGUAAUCCAAGGGAUAAUGAAACAGAAUUUUGCUCUGCUGGAAUCAAUUCUCAAACAUUUGGGUUGCCAAAGAUGUCAUUUAACGCCAGUUGUUCAAAUGAUGCUGGGAUCAAUGAGGCUGGUGUUUUAAAUAGUGGGUUGUGGCCAAACCAGAUUCAGCGUAUGCGAACAUACACAAAGGUCUCUCUCUCUCUCUCUCUCUCAAACACACUGUUACACACACACGCACACUCUUCAAACUGGUCACCUGCCAAGUUCCCCCGCCACAAAAAUAGAAAAAUGAAAAAAAAUUACAGCAUAAUAGAAUCCAUCUACAUUCUCUUUGAGAACACUUACACGAAGGAACCGUAAUAUGAAAUAAAUUUUAUCUAAUUUCUUUCCCUCUUCGUUUGGAGACAGCCUGAUUACUAGAAAUUAUGCAGGUUCAAAAACGUGGCUCUGUGGGUAGAACUAUUGAUGUCACUCGUUACAAGGGGUACGAUGAACUUAGGCAUGAUCUAGCCCGUAUGUUUGGUAUCAAUGGACUACUUGAAGAUCCACAACGAUCUGAAUGGAAACUUGUCUACGUAGACCAUGAAAAUGACAUGUUACUUGUUGGCGAUGACGCUUGGGAGUAAGUGUUUAGCAACUGUCCUUGUUAUCUUAGUUUUUCGUUGAAAGAACACAAAAAUAACUUUGAAAAUUUUUCUCAGUGAGUUUGUGAGCUGCGUUCAGAGUAUAAAGAUACUGUCCUCUGCUGAGGUACAACAAAUGAGUUUAGAUGGAGAUUUAGCUCAGCCUCCUGCCCCAAACCAAGCACUCAGUGGAACAGACAGUGGUAAUGCUUGGAGAGGACAGUAUGAUGAUAAUUCUGCCAACUCUUUUAAUCGGUGAAAGCAUUGCAGAGAUUAACUUUUAUCAGCAGGAAAUGUUAGAAGGUAGAUGUAAAUUUCUUGUACCAUCGAAUGUUAAAAAGCUUGUCUGAAAUUUUUUGAAGUGCUUGUGCAUUCUUGUAGAAGAAUCAAGAAAACUAUAUAUACUUGACGAAACAAACAAUUUUUUAUUCAACUUUAAAAAAGGGAAAAUUCAGUCCAGUGCCAUCAUUUUCAUUCCUAAAUGGAUGCAACUCCAUAUUCUUUGCACUAAAUUACGCUAAACUGACAGUUCAAGAAAAUAUUCAUUUAGGACUGGAAUUCUUUUGUGAGAUAUCAGAAACUGGAAAAUAAGGACACAGACAAGCAGCUCUUUAAACGACUACAAAGAACAACAAAUGGUUCUCGAACUGAAAAAUCAUUACACUUUGAUUUCUUUCAUUACGCUGCAAAAAGUCGUCAUAUUGAUCCGGAUUACAACAAAUUUCUCAAGUUUCGCUUUUGCUGAACCAACUAAGAAAGGACAGCCAUGACCUCUGAAGCCCUUAGUGCUAUGUAGUUAGAACCGUCACUGCCCUUGAAAUCGUUUCCUGCAUAUUUGGAGUACAAAACUGUGUUCCCGGGGAUAACUGACAAUGGCUUCCUGUUACCUUCCUCAUCAAGGGGGCCAGGCCCGACUGCAAUCACCUGUAAUUGAAGAUGGAAA
RNAcentral lists this long non-coding RNA (8951 nucleotides) under Olea europaea subsp. europaea. The record is from RNAcentral. Lineage: Eukaryota; Viridiplantae; Streptophyta; Magnoliopsida; Lamiales; Oleaceae.